GACGAACGCUGGCGGCGUGCCUAAUACAUGCAAGUAGAACGCUGAAGGAGGAGCUUGCUUCUCUGGAUGAGUUGCGAACGGGUGAGUAACGCGUAGGUAACCUGCCUGGUAGCGGGGGAUAACUAUUGGAAACGAUAGCUAAUACCGCAUAAUAGUAGAUGUUGCAUGACAUUUGCUUAAAAGGUGCAAUUGCAUCACUACCAGAUGGACCUGCGUUGUAUUAGCUAGUUGGUGGGGUAACGGCUCACCAAGGCGACGAUACAUAGCCGACCUGAGAGGGUGAUCGGCCACACUGGGACUGAGACAAGGCCCAGACUCCUACGGGAGGCAGCAGUAGGGAAUCUUCGGCAAUGGACGGAAGUCUGACCGAGCAACGCCGCGUGAGUGAAGAAGGGUUUCGGAUCGUAAAGCUCUGUUGUAAGAGAAGAACGAGUGUGAGAGUGGAAAGUUCACACUGUGACGGUAUCUUAACAGAAAGGGACGGCUAACUACGUG
This 495-nucleotide ribosomal RNA is filed under the name uncultured bacterium. RNAcentral describes it as "partial 16S ribosomal RNA". It matches the Rfam family "Bacterial small subunit ribosomal RNA", at positions 28 to 507 of the family's 1533-position model. The record is from RNAcentral.